This 443-nucleotide ribosomal RNA is filed under the name uncultured bacterium. RNAcentral's name for it is "partial 16S ribosomal RNA". It matches the Rfam family "Bacterial small subunit ribosomal RNA", at positions 338 to 795 of the family's 1533-position model. The record is from RNAcentral.
CCUACGGGAGUCAGCAGUGGGGAAUAUUGGACAAUGGGGGGAACCCUGAUCCAGCGACGCCGCGUGAGUGAAGAAGUAUUUCGGUAUGUAAAGCUCUAUCAGCAGGGAAGAAAGAAAUGACGGUACCUGACUAAGAAGCCCCGGCUAACUACGUGCCAGCAGCCGCGGUAAUACGGAGGGGGCAAGCGUUAUCCGGAUUUACUGGGUGUAAAGGGAGCGUAGACGGCGAUGCAAGUCUGAAGUGAAAGGCGGGGGCCCAACCUCCGGACUGCUUUGGAAACUGUAUGGCUGGAGUGCAGGAGAGGUAAGUGGAAUUCCUAGUGUAGCGGUGAAAUGCGUAGAUAUUAGGAGGAACACCAGUGGCGAAGGCGGCUUACUGGACUGUAACUGACGUUGAGGCUCGAAAGCGUGGGGAGCAAACAGGAUUAGAUACCCUUGUAGUC